GACGAACGCUGGCGGCGUGCUUAACACAUGCAAGUCGAACGGAAAGGCCCUUCGGGGUACUCGAGUGGCGAACGGGUGAGUAACACGUGGGUGAUCUGCCUCGUACUCUGGGAUAAGCCUGGGAAACUGGGUCUAAUACCGGAUAGGACCAUUCCUCGCAUGGGGGGUGGUGGAAAGUUUUUCGGUACGAGAUGGGCCCGCGGCCUAUCAGCUUGUUGGUGGGGUAAUGGCCUACCAAGGCGACGACGGGUAGCCGGCCUGAGAGGGCGACCGGCCACACUGGGACUGAGACACGGCCCAGACUCCUACGGGAGGCAGCAGUGGGGAAUAUUGCACAAUGGGCGCAAGCCUGAUGCAGCGACGCCGCGUGAGGGAUGACGGCCUUCGGGUUGUAAACCUCUUUCACCAGGGGCGAAUUUGACGGUACCUGGAGAAGAAGCACCGGCCAACUACGUGCCAGCAGCCGCGGUAAUACGUAGGGUGCGAGCGUUGUCCGGAAUUACUGGGCGUAAAGAGCUCGUAGGCGGUUUGUCGCGUCGUUCGUGAAAACUUGAUGCUUAACAUCAAGCGUGCGGGCGAUACGGGCAGACUUGAGUACUACAGGGGAGACUGGAAUUCCUGGUGUAGCGGUGAAAUGCGCAGAUAUCAGGAGGAACACCGGUGGCGAAGGCGGGUCUCUGGGUAGUAACUGACGCUGAGGAGCGAAAGCGUGGGUAGCGAACAG
RNAcentral lists this ribosomal RNA (724 nucleotides) under symbiotic bacterium T032. RNAcentral's name for it is "bacterial SSU rRNA". It matches the Rfam family "Bacterial small subunit ribosomal RNA", at positions 28 to 775 of the family's 1533-position model. The record is from RNAcentral.